UACGAAGGGGGCUAGCGUUGUUCGGAAUCACUGGGCGUAAAGCGCACGUAGGCGGAUUUUUAAGUCAGGGGUGAAAUCCCGAGGCUCAACCUCGGAACUGCCUUUGAUACUGAGGAUCUGGAGUCCGGGAGAGGUGAGCGGAACUGCGAGUGUAGAGGUGAAAUUCGUAGAUAUCGGGAGGAACACCAGUGGCGAAGGCGGCGACCUGGGCCAAUAUUGACGCUGAGGUGCGAAAGCGUGGGGAGCAAACAGG
This 253-nucleotide ribosomal RNA is filed under the name uncultured bacterium. RNAcentral describes it as "partial 16S ribosomal RNA". It matches the Rfam family "Bacterial small subunit ribosomal RNA", at positions 524 to 776 of the family's 1533-position model. The record is from RNAcentral.